GAUAUAUUUCUGAUCGGGGACAACACUGUGAACUGUUCAUCUUCAGAUGCUGCAGGAAACACUGACACUUGUCUUCUCGUUGUCACAGUAACAGAUGAUGAAGCCCCUAUUCUGAACUGCCCAAAUAUAUCUUCAACUACCGAUGAGGGACUCAAUUCUUCAUCUACUGUUCUGCUAAGUUCAACUGCAACUGAUAAUGUGGAUUUUGAUCUAGAUGUGAAUUGCUCCCAUUCAUCUGAAGAUAUAUUCCUGAUCGGGGACACCACUGUGAACUGUUCAUCUUCAGAUGCUGCAGGAAACACUGAAACUUGCCUUCUAGUUGUCACAGUAUCAGAUGAUGAAGC
Molecule: long non-coding RNA, 344 nt
Filed under: Strongylocentrotus purpuratus (purple sea urchin)
Lineage: Eukaryota; Metazoa; Echinodermata; Echinoidea; Camarodonta; Strongylocentrotidae
Description: uncharacterized LOC115928873
Source: RNAcentral